UACGUAGGAUGCAAGCGUUGUCCGGAAUUACUGGGCGUAAAGCGCGCGCAGGCGGCUUUUUAAGUCCAUCGGUGAAAUGCCGGGGCUCAACCCCGAGCGUGCCGAGGAUACUGGAAGGCUGGAGACACGUAGAGGCAAGCGGAAUUCCGGGUGUAGCGGUGGAAUGCGUAGAGAUCCGGAAGAACACCGGAGGCGAAGGCGGCUUGCUGGGCGUGAUCUGACGCUGAGGCGCGAAAGCGUGGGGAGCGAACAGG
Molecule: ribosomal RNA, 254 nt
Filed under: uncultured bacterium
Lineage: Bacteria
Description: partial 16S ribosomal RNA
Rfam family: Bacterial small subunit ribosomal RNA
Source: RNAcentral